Molecule: long non-coding RNA, 471 nt
Organism: Vigna unguiculata (cowpea)
Lineage: Eukaryota; Viridiplantae; Streptophyta; Magnoliopsida; Fabales; Fabaceae
Source: RefSeq, a predicted model, not a curated record
UCAAACUCCUCUCACUCUACUUUCUCCACUUAGCUUCCUCUCCUUUUUCUCUCAAAACUCACUCCUUCACAACAACUGUUCCACGUAUUUUCUCAUAUUCUAACUUAGUUUCCACCACUUCUUGAAGCAAAGAGUGAAAUUGGGACUUUUGUGGAGUUCUUGUCGGAACGAACCGAACGUUCCUUUCCUAUGACUUCUUAAGCUGUAUUUGGAUUUUCCAGUACUUCCCACUUGGAGUUUUCUUCCCCUCCCCCUCACGUCAGCGUCAGUCAAGAUGUGGAAACUUCUAGUGAUCGUGCGGAUAGCAGAGAUGCUACUCUUUAGUGUAAGCAUUUUUGUUAUCGUUGUUUUGAGCACCUUUUAAAACUGCUUUUCCCUUGUAAUUUCUUGCUAUGUGAGCAAUCUUUUAACUAAACUAUUUUGUUUUAUGAAACAUGCUUAUGACAUUAUUCUAUAUCUAUAAUACUUUUA